Molecule: long non-coding RNA, 763 nt
Organism: Ochotona curzoniae (black-lipped pika)
Lineage: Eukaryota; Metazoa; Chordata; Mammalia; Lagomorpha; Ochotonidae
Exons: 3
Source: RefSeq, a predicted model, not a curated record
AGAAAGAAAAUCAGAGAGAGAAAGAUAAAGGGAAGAAGACAGAGAUUGCUUCCGCUGAUUUACUCCUCAAGUGCCUGUAACAGUAGUGACAGGAUUAGGAUGAGGCCAGGAGUGAGGAACUCAGCGAUGGCUCAGUGGGGAACGGGGAGCUGACUGCCUGGGUGAAUUCACAGCCUUCCAGGGUGCGCAUUUGCAGGAGCCUAGAAUGGACAGUGGAGCCUGGAUCAAAACCCAGGCACUCCAACAGCAGAUGCAGAUAUCCUAAGUGGUGCUUGUUUUCCCCCUAAGAUUUAUUUGUUUAACUUGAAAGUCAGAGUUACAGAAAAAGAGAGAGAGAGAGAGAAUCUUCCCUCUGUGGGUUCAUUCUCCAAAUGGCCAAAAUAGCCAGAGCUGAGAUGAUCCAAAGCUAAAAACUGGGAACUUAUUUCAGAGCUCCCAUGUGAGUACAGGGACCCAAGACUUGAGCCAUCUUCUGCCUCUUUCCCAAGUCUCAAGCAUGGAGCUGGAUUGGAAAAUGAAGCCGCCAGGACUUGAACUGACACCCAUAUGAGAUGCUGUUGCUACAGGUGGAGGAUUAGUCUGAUAUGCCACUGCGCUGGUUUCCUAAGUGAUGUUUUUAAUAGCUACACGCAACACUUGCCCCUUUUCCACUUUUUCAACAGGAAUUGUCUUCUCCUGCUUGAACCUACUGAAGAGAAUUCGAAAGUAGGUUCUCUCUGGUGUUACAGAGAAUAAAGAUAGGUCUAGGGCAGGAACCUGGAUC